This 5806-nucleotide long non-coding RNA is filed under the name Lupinus angustifolius (narrow-leaved blue lupine). RNAcentral's name for it is "long non-coding RNA (LANG_LNC003720)". The record is from RNAcentral. Lineage: Eukaryota; Viridiplantae; Streptophyta; Magnoliopsida; Fabales; Fabaceae.
CAAGGAAUAAAUAAAAAUCUUUAGUUAACUUAUCAGUUACAAAUUCAAUUAAUAAAAAUAAAAUAAUGAAAGGUGUUGUUACAAUAAGCCAAAGGGUGUGUGGAUGCUUAUAUAUUAGUAGCUUAUGCUCAUGACAUGGGGAUUUAUUUUUUUGUGUGACCAACUUUGAUUUAAAGUACAGCAACACCAUACACACUUUUUUAUCUAUAGUCAGCUAUCUUCCACUCUUCCAUUUUUUGUCACCCAUCAUUCCUUCACCCACCAAACCACUAUAAAGCCAAACCCAUAUCUAAAAAAAUAAAGAGAGGAGAUAGUGUAAAACAGAUUCCUUCUAGCUUCUUUAGUUUCCAUUUUCCAUACUCUUAGUAUAUGCACAUAUGAUAAACCAAAUAAAUUCUGGUCUGCACCAGAAAUUCCCAAAUCCAAAACACUAGCAGGCUAUAUUCUUCGAUUUAUCUUCAUUAGGCAGCACUAUCAACAGUAAUAAUAGUACAUAUUCUCUACAUCAAAGUUCAAGGAGAACAUGUCCAUACCUACAACACACACGCCAUCUACACAUGAGAAUACAUAUAUGCCUAUCACUUGCACACACAGAAAAACCAGAAAAGAUAGAGUAACAUAUCACACUACAACACAAGCAAUCAGAAUACAUAUAUCGGCUAUCACAGAUCAUACACAUAACACACUGAGAUACACAAAGAACAAUCAGAUAUCAUAUAUAACACACACAUACACAGAAUACACAAGCAAUUACAACACAGAAGAAAAUUGAGAUACUUGGUACACAAAGAGGAGUAAGAAACAGCCGAGAUACCAAUAGCUAGAGAAAAAAGGAUGAGCAACAAGUAAAGACAAUGACAACAAGGUUCUGAAUUCAUCAGGUAAUAAUUUACCCUCCUUUACUCAGUAGUUAAUCCUCAGUUCUGAAUUCAUACUUACUUAAUGUACAACAUAUUUAUACAGAAAAUGCGUUUAUGUGUAUUUGAUUAACAUGAAAGCAAAUAAUGCAUCAUGUCAUCAUAAAACAAUUUCAAUCAGAAUUUGUUUCUGAAUGAAUUUUCACCCAAAUCCAUUUUCUUACACAUAUCACCAAUCAAUUCAUACUGUAAGGGAUAAGUAACAUUUGAAUAGAAGGGGAUAAGAUUCAUUACCGAAGCCCCUUGUUUCUGCCGGUGUUAGGCAGUGAUGUAUGGCCAUCAAUGGCCUCAUUCAUCAUCUCGUAAAUGUAGUGACCCUUUCAUUUGAGGAUGUUACAUACAAGAAAUCCUCUCCCCUUGGUCAUAGCAACACCACCCGGUAGGCCACCAUUGUUAGACAAAGAAUCUCAGUUCGUGGGAGUCAUCGACUCCACCUUAUCCACCAUGGCAGAUGACAUAGCCUUCACCGGGGGGAACCAUAACUUGGAUGGAAAUGAACUCCCUUGCGGGAAGGAAGAAAGGGGAGGAUGACCUUUGUUGCUCUUUGUGAUUAAGAAGACAACCAAGUGGAGCCUCCUCAGUGUGCCUCUCUACGACGACCGAAGAGGAAAUAUCGCCUUCUACCCCCAUGCUUGAACCGCCAUCGCCGCCGAGGAAGGAGAAAAGAAGGGAGAUGAGAUGGAAAUUAGGGAUUUCAUUCCCUUUGUGUUUCAUGGAGUUCUUAUUUUUUUUCCCGAUGAAUAAAUGGGGCUAAAAGCCUUUAGCCCAAAUUACAGACCUCCACUAUAAACCAUAGAGGCAUUGUCUAGUAAAAGUUUAACACUACAAAAGCUAGGAGCGACAUCAAAAAUAUGAAAACGUCUAUCUAACGACAACCCAAACUUUGCUAAUUCAUCCGCUAUUGCAUUUGCUUCACGAAAAAUAUGCCCACACUGGAAGUGACUAAACUUGGAGAAAAUGGAAUGGAUGUUGGCAAUUAGGACCGCACAAGGAUGAUUAGGCUGACACCCACCCUGAAUGGGAUGAAUACUGACAGCAGAAUCAGAUUCAAUAAAAACAUCCUUGAAACCCCUUUGUUUUAACAGUCUCAAACCAAUAAGAAUACCCCAUAACUCUGCUUGGACUAUAGAGCACUUACUUAAUUGUUGAGAGAAACCGAAAAUGAAGGCACCAUGGUGGUCACGCGCUACGCCACCACAAGCUGCCAUAUGAGAAACUGAAGAAAAAGAACCAUCAGUAUUCAUCUUGAUCCAUCCAAACUCUAGAGGAGACGGGCGGAUAGGAGGGAGGGGAAAGUGAGUUGUUGAAGGAACCAGGUUACUGAAAACUCUAGCUGAGCAAGAGGUUAAGGCCAAAAUCUUAUUACACAUUGAAGUUGUGGACGUGGUCAAAUUCUGAAAAAUCAGCUUGUUUCUACAUCUCUAAAUUGUGUCAAUUGCAAUUCCAAAAACUAGAGGUCAAUUGAAAUCCCUAAAUUUCUCGCUGCUGGACAGAUUCUCUGUUAGCCAUGCAUGAAGAUCAGAUCAAAAGGACUGCAAUCCCGAUAUCUUUAGUAGGGAGGACCAAACAUCUUUUGAUUGGGAACAGUCCCUAAUCAUAUGUAGAGUAGACUCUAAAGCUUGACACCAAGGACAUGCGUCAGAGUUGGUCAUCCCUCUGCUCAUACGUUGAUCAUUCGUGGAAAGGUAGUUGGAGAAUAAUCUCCAGAGCAAAAGAUUAAUGCAGUAAGGGACUUUCCAUUGCCAAAUAAUUUUAGCUAGAUUAAUAAGGUGAAGAUGAAGAUGACCAGCUGGAAGGGAGUAAGCCAAAGCAACCGAAAAUGAACCAUCCUUUGAUCCCAACCACAUAACUGAAUCCUCAAUCAAUUGAUGAGCAAGAGGAUGCAUGGCCGAAAUUUUAUUAGCAAUCUCCAAAGGGACUGAGGCAAGCAACACUCUAGAAUCCCACUACCCCACCUCAUUUACUAGAUCGACAACCACAGAGUUAGAAGACAAAUUCUGAUUGUGACCUAAGAGUGAUGUUCCAAAGCAAUCUCAUUUGGAAUCCAUCUAUCUGUCAAAAAAUGAAUCUCUUUGCCAUUUCCAACUCUCCAUCAUAAAGCUUUGAUUAACCAGUCUUGAUUGUCUGAGACUUAACCCUCCUGCCAGCUUUGGUUUGCAUAAAAAAGUCCAAUUUUUCCAGUGAGUUUUGCGGUGAGAAUCAGUCUCACCCCACACGAAAGACCUAUAGAGUUUAUCCAAAUAAUCGCAAAUAGAGGAAGGCAACGGGGAGGUCUGCAUUACAUAGGAAGGAAGAGCUUGCAAAACUGAGUUAACCAACGUCAACCUUCCUGCAAAGGACAGCUGAUUGCAUUUCCAACUACUCACGCGAUUUUUAGCAUUUUCCAAAAUAUAAUUAAAACGAUUCCGACGAUUAUUCAGAUGCUGGAUUGGCACACCUAGAUACUUACCGAGAUCAGUGGUCCUGGAAAAUCCAAGCUCAGCCACAAUUUGACUCCUUAUAUUUUCAUGCACAUUUUUUGAGAAGAAAACCCUGAGAUUUAUCUUUAUUAAUCCUUUGACCAGAGCUCUUGCAAUACAAAUCCAGACAAGUGUUAAUGACCUGCACCUGCCUCAAAGAUACUUCAUCAAAAAGGAUAAAAUCAUCUGCGAAAGCCAAAUGACUUAAUUUAGGACCAUUUCUUCCUAUUUGAAUCGGUUUCCAAAAUCCAGCUUCCCAGGCAGCACAUAUCAGUUGGGAAAGCCAUUCCAGAUAGAGAACGAAAAUAUACGGAGAAAUUGGAUCCCCUUGCCUAACUCCUCGCAUAGGAAUAAAAGAAGUUAGGGACUCUCCAUUCCAUAGCACCUGCGUAGACAGAGUCGUAAUACAAGCCAUAAUCAAAUUAACUAGAUUACAAGGCAGGUCCGCCUCGGUAAGGGAAUCCUUAACAAACCUCCAAUCCAAUCUAUCAUAAGCUUUUUCAAAAUCGAGCUUUAUCGCCAUCCAACCAGUCUUGCCUUCUUUGUUGUGCGUAGAAUGGACAACUUCCUGAGUUAUAAUAAUGUUGUCGCUGCUUUGCCUACCAAGGAUGAAACUACUCUGGAAAGGUCCAGUGACAGCAUGCAUGACACUCCUCAAACGCGUAGCCAGCACCUUAGUAAUCACUUUAUAAGAUACGUUGCACAGACUAAUUGGUCGAAACUGCUUGAGAUGGGAAGCUUGCUCGGUUUUGGGGAUGAGGCUGAUCAAGGUCUCAUUCAGAUCCCCCACUAGAGAGGGAUUGAUGAAGGCCCUUUUAACAAGAUCCCAUAAUUUGGAACCCACCACAUUCCAAUGAUUUUGAUAAAAGAGAGCAUGGAGACCAUCCUUCCCAGGAGACUUAAAACCCUAAUGCUAAACACAACUCUCCUGAUCUCUUUAGUGCUAACUGGAGUGCGGAGCAUCGCUUUAUGAUGAUCCGCCAGAACUGGAAAACAACCUGUUAAAGCAAAAGGAAGAACGGGCACAUAUGAAAUAUAAAGAUCUAUUAACUAAAUAAGAAAAUUAUGUUCUUACAUUUUCAACCUAUACACGUGUUAAGCUUAGAAGAAUUUUUUUCCCGCUCAAACUCUCUACACAUUUCUGCAAAAUCACUCACUCAUCCAUAAACACCACUUGUCAUUAUUAUUAUAAUAAUAAUAAAGAAAAAUUGUAAAAAUCAGUCAAGAAAUUUAAAUAAUAGCUGUCAAUCAUUAUUCUGCAACUCUCUUACUCAUCACAUUAAAUAAAAUGACUCACUCAUCUCAUAAACGCCACUUGUCAUUAUUAUUAUUAUAAUAAUAAGAAAAACUGUAAAAAUCAGCCAAGAAAUUUAAAUGAUAGCUGUCAAUCAUUAUUUCACCCACUACUUUUUGUUCAUUAAUUUAUCACAUUUGUUUGGUUCCGUGUGAAAUGCAGUACUAUUCAUAUUUUGAAUGAUUUUUUAGUUUGAAAGUAAUAUACUUUAUCAGUUAGAAAGAAACUUUUUGAUAUUCGUUGGAAAGAAACUUAUUAUUUCAUGGAGCUUUAGGACUACUAUUCAUAUUUAGUUAGAAAUAAACUUUUCAUUUCCUGGGGCUUUGGGUUGUAUUAUCACUCAUACACGUAUUGUCAUAUUUACCACUCUAACACAAUGACUUUUACAUACCUAUUUCUCAGCUUCAUCAUUACUCUACUCUUCACUUUCCUCUUUAUCUAUGAUACAUUGCUUAUCUUAUUUUUCACUUUUCAAAAUACUCAAUACUCAAUACUCAAUUUGUGCUUCAGAUAGUGGUAAGACUUUUUGCUUUUAUUUUUCAUGUUAUUACACCGUUACUUUUUCUAUGUUCAUUGCAUUUCUUUUUUUGUUUAUCAUUAUACUAGCAUUUCAUUAUUUUGGCGGGUUGACAGUUCUGCUCCAUCUUUGGAAAUGAAAAUUUCAUCAUUUUUCUAUGUUCAUUUUCAUCCUUUUUCUAUGUUCAUUGCAUUUCUUUUUUUGUUUAUCAUUAUACUAGCAUUUUAUUUUUUGUACUUAUGUUAUUAAUUUUUUGGUUCUUUCUGUAGUAACUAACAUUUACAUUUGAUAGUGUAUUUUUUGCAUCCUCCAAAGCCUUUUCAUAUAUUGUUAUUUUAUUUUAUUUUUUAUGCUCCAAAGCUAUUUCACCUUACAAACCCUUAUUUGUUGUUGUUGGAUCUAUUUGUUAUCAUUGUCAAGUUAUUAGUCAUAUCUUUUUUCAGCUGAAAUUAUUGACUGUUAAUGGUAACGAUGAUAAUGAAAUUCUCAUUUCACUUUUUUCUACUCGCAGCAAUCAUGGCACGUAGAGUGAACUUCAUUUCUGAGAUAAACGGUUCAAAAGAUACUUGGAAGUUGAAGGUUAGGAUUAUUGGUCUUUGGCGGGUUGACAGAUCUUCUN